Non-coding RNA from Paramuricea clavata, 251 nucleotides. NCBI's taxonomy places the organism in Eukaryota, Metazoa, Cnidaria, Anthozoa, Malacalcyonacea, Plexauridae. The record is from the annotation of a GenBank genome assembly.
CUCUUAACUUAAAAACUGAGAAGUAACGUUUUUGAAGAUUCUUAUUCUAUGCUUCGUUGUUGAGAUAUUUCGGUUAAGAUAAUCGUGACAAUAAAGGAAAUCAAACAUAAAAAAAUCUUCAAAAGAAGUUACUGUACAGUUUUAGGGUCUGUUCAUAUGAGCGCGGUUUGCCCAAAAGCUCCCCUGAGUGGGAUGAACUGUUUUUGUGCCCGCCUCAGUGGGACGACAUUAGGGAGUUUACGAAUGUAAGA